RNAcentral lists this transfer RNA (96 nucleotides) under Chloroflexota bacterium. RNAcentral describes it as "Chloroflexi bacterium tRNA-Sec". It matches the Rfam family "Selenocysteine transfer RNA". Lineage: Bacteria; Bacillati; Chloroflexota. RNAcentral also lists the same sequence under 2 other names. The record is from RNAcentral.
GGGAGUGGAUAGGCCCCGGUGGGUCUCCCGGUCUUCAAAACCGGUGUGUCCGUCGUUUGGCGGACAGGUGGGUUCGACUCCCAUGCACUCCCGCCA